CGGACGGGUGAGUAACGCGUGGGUAACCUGCCUCACACUGGGGGAGUAACAGUUAGAAAUAGCUGCUAAUACCGCAUAAGCGCACGGUUCCGCAUGGAACAGUGUGAAAAACUCCGGUGGUGUGAGAUGGACCCGCGUCUGAUUAGCCAGUUGGCGGGGUGACGGCCCACCAAAGCGACGAUCAGUAGCCGGCCUGAGAGGGUGAACGGCCACAUUGGGACUGAGACACGGCCCAA
This 236-nucleotide ribosomal RNA is filed under the name uncultured bacterium. Its description in RNAcentral is "partial 16S ribosomal RNA". It matches the Rfam family "Bacterial small subunit ribosomal RNA", at positions 99 to 334 of the family's 1533-position model. The record is from RNAcentral.